Molecule: long non-coding RNA, 634 nt
Filed under: Homo sapiens (human)
Lineage: Eukaryota; Metazoa; Chordata; Mammalia; Primates; Hominidae
Description: HSALNT0001024
Source: RNAcentral
GCCUUCCUGGCUGCCAGAAGCUUAACACAAACAGCGCAUCUUGGAUCCAGUUCCUCGCAACGCCACAAAGUGUGGUCAGGAAUGUCUUUUCAGUGGCUCUAUUGUUACUAACGUUUACGACAAGUCAAUGUCUCUCGAUUUUUCUCUGGAAAACACACACACAUACACACACACAUUUUUUCUCUGGAACACACACACACACGCGCGCUUUGACUUACGGUUGGCACUACCAUUUAAAAUAUUUUUAUUUGUAUGUUUAAAGUCUUUUCUAGCACCACCACCUUUCCCUGUAUUUAUAUGUGCUGUUGCAUUGCCCCAUCAUUGUUUAAUAUGUAUCACCCUCUCUCUCCACCCCAUAAAUAGCAAAUUCCUCAAGGACAGCGAUGAUGCCAGCUCCUCAUUCUGCAACCCCUGUUGCACAAGGCUGUAUAAACAGGAAAUGUGAGUGCUUUGACGAUUAAUAAUUUGGUCCAUAUGUUCCCUGAAACAUUUACAACCCAGGAACACUGGAAAUAAGUGACCAACUACAGGAAAAAACUUUGGUAAAUUACCGUCCUUGAAAAAACAUAACAGUUAUUAAAAAUGAGACUUGGGAAUCUACAAUAAUGUGGGGAAACACUUAUGCUACAAUGUU